GGUUCUGUAUUCAUAUAAUGAUUUUAAAUUGCAAAUUUGAAGGUGAAUUUUAAUUCCAGGGCUU
This 64-nucleotide transfer RNA is filed under the name Bullanga florida. Its description in RNAcentral is "tRNA-Cys". Lineage: Eukaryota; Metazoa; Arthropoda; Insecta; Neuroptera; Myrmeleontidae. The record is from RNAcentral.